CCCGUGAUUUUAUCGCGGGGUUGAAAGAUGCUAGUUCUUUCAUGAUUAUGUGAUAGGUGGUGCAUGGCCGUUCUUAGUUCGUGGAGUGAUCUGUCUGCUUAAUUGCGUAUCAAUAAUAGAGACCUAGUAUACGCGUAGACUCAUGCGGUAGUGACCCCCCUUCACAGGGCGCGUGUCGCACGUAUGUUAUACGCACAGGUCUCCGAUAGCAACGAACGUGACCGUACUCUAUUGUUGCAGCGACAAUACCUUUCAACGGGUAUUACCGCUGCUUAGCAAGAUUCGUCUUGCAUUAAACUAUAGAGACCGCUGUUUCUUCUUUAAACCAGAGGAAGGAUACGGCAAUAACAGGUCUGUGAUGCCCUCAGAUGUUCCGGGCUGCACACGUGCUACAAUGAUCAUUGCACUGUGCAUCUAACCCAAUGUGCGCGGACGCCGCCGUGCGUAUAUACUUUAUUGUGUAUGCGUAUCGUGCGUGCGACCGCGCCGAACCUGCUUCGAAAGUAAACAUUUCCAGCGGGUAAUCCAUUANAAGUAAUGACUCGCAUAGACCAUGGCACACUAUAUGUACCCGCGGGUUCUACCCGGCUCGCCUUUGUGUGANUGCAGUGCGUAGCUCGUUGUUUGGUACGUGCCACUCCGUAUUAAUUCAUACGUGGGGAUAGAUCAUUGUUUAAUUGUUGGUCUCGGUCUUAACUAGGAAUGCCUUGUACGGGUCUUUGGUUCA
This 727-nucleotide ribosomal RNA is filed under the name Ammonia sp. genotype T6. RNAcentral describes it as "SSU rRNA". It matches the Rfam family "Eukaryotic small subunit ribosomal RNA", at positions 1223 to 1634 of the family's 1831-position model. The record is from RNAcentral. Lineage: Eukaryota; Foraminifera; Rotaliida; Rotaliidae.